Molecule: RNA transcript, 10248 nt
Organism: Mirounga angustirostris (Northern elephant seal)
Lineage: Eukaryota; Metazoa; Chordata; Mammalia; Carnivora; Phocidae
Gene: ZNHIT6
Gene name: zinc finger HIT-type containing 6
Exons: 14
Source: RefSeq, a predicted model, not a curated record
GCCGCAGAGCCGUAAAGGGCUCUACGAGUCGUGAAGUGGCGAGGCGCGGAAGUGUUGCUUUACGACGAUUUGGACGAAAGCUGUAGGCCGGCGUUUGCUGCAUGGGGCUUUCGGUCCCGCACGUGGGCGACUGUCGGUGUUCCGCCCCAGAAUUCGUUCUUUUUGGCGUGGACAAGCCACACUGAAGGACAGAGUGGCAGCGAAGGCCAGAGGUCGUGAGCUGAUGGAUACGCCUGUUGAAAAUGAAGGGACUUUGGGAGGAGGUCUGCAGAGUGGUGCUGAGGGGGCGCGGCUAAGGCUCGAGUCCGGUAGGGAGAGAGUCGGGGGCACAGCAGGGACGGACGCUGGCAGUGUAGACGCGGGGAACGGACAGGCAGGAAUGAAGACAGAGGAUAGAGAAGGAAGUGGACAAACGGCAGAGGAGAUGCGAGUGGACCUAACGGUUGUGAAACAAGAAGUUAUGGACUGGUCGGAAAUGGAAGACGGGAUGCUGGAUGGCCGGUGGGUAAAGCAGGAGGUGGAGGAUGGGCCUGAGGUGAAAGAGGAGAAACCAGGCAGUUUGGAGGUGAAGCAGGAGAUGGGUAGUAGUUUUGUGGUAAAAGAAGAGAAAGUGGAUGGAGCAGAGGUAAAAGAAGAGAAAGUGAAGGUGAAGGAAGAGGUGAUGGACUGGCUAGAUGUGAAGGAAGAGAAGAAAGAUAACUUGGAGAUAAAAGAGGAGGUGUUUGUUGCUCAAAACAUAAAAACGGAGGAAAUGAUGGAUGAAGUUUGUGUAAAAGAAGAGAAGUAUUUCCCAAAGGAAGAAGUGAUGGAUGAUACAAAGGUGAAAGAAGAGCCUCAGAUAAAUCCCCCUGUGGGUUUCAAACGGAAACUGGCCAUGUCAAGGUGUGAAACUUGUGGUACAGAAGAAGCAAAGUACAAAUGUCCACGUUGUAUGCGAUAUUCCUGCAGUUUGCCCUGUGUAAAGAAACACAAAGCAGAACUGACCUGUAAUGGAGUUCGAGAUAAGACUGCAUAUGUUUCCAUACAACAGUUUACUGAAAUGAAUCUCCUGAGUGAUUAUCGGUUUUUGGAAGAUGUGGCAAGAACAGCAGACCACAUUUCUAGAGAUGCUUUCUUAAAAAGACCAAUAAGCAAUAAACAUAUGUACUUUAUGAAAAAUCGUGCCAGAAGACAAGGUAUUAACUUAAAGCUUCUACCCAAUGGAUUCACCAAGAGAAAAGAAAAUUCAACAUUUUUUGAUAAGAGAAAACAACAGUUUUGUUGGCAUGUGAAGCUCCAGUUUCCUCAGAGUCAAGCUGUGUACAUAGAAAAAAGAGUACCAGAUGAUAAAACUGUUAAUGAAAUCCUAAGACCUUACAUUGAUCCUGAAAAGUCUGAUCCUGUAAUUCGUCAAAGGUUGAAGGCCUACAUUCGCUCUCAAACUGGGGUCCAAAUUUUAAUGAAGGUUGAAUAUAUGCAGCAAAAUUUAGUAAGGUAUUAUGAACUGGAUCCUUACAAAAGUCUCCGUGACAAUUUGAGGAACAAAGUGAUCAUUGAGUAUCCAACAUUACAUGUGGUAUUAAAAGAAUCCAGUCAUGACAUGGAAGUUCUUCACCAAGUGAAAAGUGAAUCUCCCAAGAACGUUGGCAAUGAAAAUUGAGCACUUCUUCUGGAGGAAGAAGGAUUUACAAGAAACAUGUUUGAGUGAGGCCAUCUCCAUUUGGAUUCUUGAUAAACUCGGAUGAAUAAACAAACUCCCUGACCCAUGUUAAGUUCAACAUCCUGCAUUUUGUUCAUGAAUCACAUUUUAAAAGGAGGAAAGCUUCACCUGGCCUUCUUUAUUUUUUAAACAAUGAUUUCAAAGGCAAGGCUGAAAGAUAGGACAGGCUGCGUUGGUACAGCUAACUGUCCAGGAAUUCUGACCAGCUGACCAUAGAGUCCCAAGUCCAUUCUGUAGUUUGGCACCACAUGGUGGCAGAUGUCACUCCGGCUGAAAUGUUGAUGGGACAAAUCUGAGUCAGUCCUGUAUCUGACUUGUACUUCUAGGAUAACAGCGUGAGUCCAGCAAUCUCCUAGCUUAGGUGUCUGAUCUUUCACCCUAUUCCCAGCCUUCUGGGUAUCUCCUGGCAAUAUUAAGAACUCCAGCUUGAUCCCUGAAUCAUCUAGGUAAGCUGUCAUCUGAAAAUGUAGCACAGUCCUAGCUCAGCCUACUAAUGUGCUUCCUGUGUAUUUCUUUUCUCUUCUUCUCUUUUUUUUGAUACCUCAGACAGAAACAGACCCAAAGGAUCCAGCAAAUGCACAGUUUUUCCAUAUCCAGUGACGGGCUAACCUAGCACUGAAGUGAGGGAGAGAGGCAGGAGAGGGGCAGCUGGGACCACACUGUGUGGAGGAAAUGCCAUCCUCAAAUCUGCCAUGAGGACACAAGAACAGAGUAGAAGGCAGGGCCUUAGUCAGGGCUGGGCUCUCCUCAAGGGUUGACCCCACCAUCCCACCACCACCAAUCCAUAGCCUGUAUAGCCCGGGGUCCAGUGGCUUGAACCAGAGGUGGGGGACCUACCUGGACAAUUUGUGUGAGAAUAUGGGCAUGAUGAGGAACACCUCUUUCUGCAAACAAGAUGGAACAGAACAGAAGUAGUUGGGAAUCUUUCUCCAAGCUGAAGCAAAUGGUGGAUCCACCAGGACUGUUGCCUAAGUCAUUAAUCUCCUCAGAUGAAGGAGCUGGCUAUUGUUACAGCCUAUAGAAUAAACUGCGAUGGAGAAGACUUGAUGUGGACUUGCACAGGAUACAGAGUUAUAAUUCUUGAGGCAGAAUACUCCAGGGUUUCUUAUUUAAACUAUGAGUCCAAUGUUGGUGACCCUCUGUGUUCAAUUUACACCUUCUCCUUGGGCAGAGUCUUCUAACUCCUUGGUUUCAUGUCCCUUGAUAACUCCAUAUUCUGAAUAUCCCUACUGAACUUGAGACCAGACACCUAACUUGACAUGCAAAUCACACAUGUACUCAGUGUGACCCACAGCUAAUUUAUCCUUUUCUCCACCUGCCUCUAACCAGCUCCUCCUGGGCUACCCAUUGUCAUCACCAGUCAUCCAGUUGCUCAUACCAGAAAUACCAGAGUUAUAUUUGUCUCUUUCCUAUAACACUUUAAUCACCUAAUCCUGUUCAUUCUACCUCCUAAAUAUCUCUUUAUUCUGUGCAUAUCUCUGUAUUCUUUGGCCAACCAAACUAGUCCAGGCUACCAUCUUUUCUAGCUACCUCAUUGAUCCUCUGUCUGGUCUCUUGGCUUCUGUUCUUAACACUUGGAGUCCACUCUGUCUGUCCGUUUAGAAUGAUGUUACCUAAGUAUAAUCUGAUCAUGUUUCUUGCCUGCCCAAAACCUUUGAGUAACUUUCUGUUGCUUUUCAGGUAAAAUCCAAAGUCCAAGUUCCAACCUUGCUUACUCUUUCCAGCCUCAUCUAUUACCAGGACAGAGACCGUGUCUUUCCAUUUCAUUGCUGUCCCCUCAGAACCUAAAACAAUGUCUAGCAGAAGGUUGCUCUCUAUAAAUAGUGGUUGCAUGGAUGACUAAGUGAAUAAACAAUUUCUGUGCAUUUAAGGAUAACCAAGGAGAAGGGAGAAUGAGUGAAGACCAAUAUUAAAACCUCUCAGGGGAGGCCUGGGUGGCUUGGUUAAGCAUCUACCUUCGGCUCAGAUCAUGAUCCCAGGGCCCUGGGAUCCAGCCCUGCAUCGAGUUCCCUGCAGGGAGCCUGCUUCUUCAUCUGCCUGCCACUACCCCUGCUUGUGCUCUUUCUUUCUCUGACAAAUAAAUAAGUAAAUAAAAUCUUAAAAAAAAGAAACAAAAAAACCUCUCAGGAUUAUUGUUCUUAGUCUAAGACUUAAAUAUUUUAAUCCCAGGGCUGGAAAAGUGGAAUGUUCUUGAACAAGCAUUGCACAAAAUGUAAUGAAUAGGAUGGUCUGCAUUUUUCUGCCGCACAAGCUCCCCUUUUGGAUGUGAGGAGCAUGCGGUCAGAUUAUCUGUAUGACUGUGGGGACUGGGCAGGUUUACAAGGUGAAGAGAAGAAAUGGCAAUUGUAAAGUUGAGUGUAAGGGAUAGUUUUGUUUGUUUGUUUUUUAGCUAAGGAGCAUCCAUUUCACUUCCUAAGGGUACUUCAUUUCCUUUUGAAGAAGGAUCUCUUUCCUGUUGGAUUCAGUCUGUUGUCUGUUGGGACUGUAAUUAAGAGCCUGCCCUCCCUUGAGGCCCAGGUUAAGCCAAUAAAAUGUUUUCUUCCUAGAAUUAGACUCUUGGGGGCGCCUGGGUGGCUCAGUCAGUUAAGCAGCUGACUCUUGAUUUUGGCUCAGGUUGUGAUCUUGGGGUCAUAAGAUCAAGCCCCACAUCAGGCUCCAUGCUGAGCGUGGAGCCCUGCUUGAGAUUCUCUCUCCCUCUGCCCCUUCCCCUGCUUGCACGCUCUCUCAAAAGAGAAGGAAGGAAGGAAGGAAGGAAGGGAGGGAAAGAAAGAAAGAAGGAAAAAGGAAAGAAAGAAAGAAAAAAAACGAAAGAAAAAACGAAAAAGAAAGAAGGAAAAGAAAGAAAAGAACGAAAGAAGAAAGAAAAAAGAGAAUUAGGCUUGAGCACAGAGAUCUAGAAACUUAAAACAUUUGCUGUUUGGAGGUGACCUUCCAGCCAUACCAUGCCUGCUGUGAGACCACCAUGGUGUUCCUGGGACCCAUUCAUCCGUUUAUUAACUCAGUAGUGGGAUCCCAAUAGUUGUCUAAUAUGUUUCUUUUUCCAUAAUUUGAUCAGAGUUGUUUCUGUUACAUAUAACUGUUGGUGUGAUAAUGGUGGUACAGGAGAACAUUAUCAGAAUACAGUUCUGACAUCUUUCAGUACUUUGGACCAAAGCCAUUAAAUGAAUCCAAGAAUAAACACCAGGUACAAUUUGACCUUAGAAGUUCAGUUAUGACUGACUUUCCUGACAUGGAAAUGUGUAACAUUCACAUGUGGAUCUUCAUAGGGAUCAGUAGCUCAAAAUAUCACUGUUUUGAUGGUCAUCUGUAUCAAAAAGAAACCAAAACCACACCUUCAACUUUGUCUUUCAUUGUAGCCAUUGUAAAAAGAAGGACUAAAAAUGAUGAUCAACCUUACUACUGGCCAAAGACAAAUUAAAAUAAGUACUGUGUUCUUGUCAAUCAGUUCUGCCAAAAUUUAAAAAACUGGCACUCUCCAUUGUGGAUGAGAAUGUGAACAAAGGGUACUCUUUCAUAGUUGGUAGAAGUGCAAAUUGGUCAAUCUUCCUGGAAGGCAAUUUGGCAGUGCCUAUCAAAAUUUAACACAUGCACACCCUUGAUCCAGCAGUUCUCCUUAGAAAGAAAAACAGCAAAAAGAUACAAGUAUAAGAAUGUUCAUUGUGACAUUAACUUGUACUAUCCAAAUAUUAGAAACAGUGUAAAUGCUCCUUAAUAGACUGAAUAUAGUAUGGUAUAGUUUUACUGAUUCAUGAUUCAUUCAGGAGCCAUUAUAAAAAAUGUGGUUGAUAUGUAUGUAAUAGAAGUAGAAUCCACAAUAUUUUAAUGAGUGCAAACAAUAAGUUACAGAAUAAUGUGAAUAAAAAAUUCUUUAAAAAAACACAAAGCUAUACAUAAACUUUAUGAGUAUAUGUAUACAUAUGUAAAUAUGUCUGAAUGUGCAUAGAAAAGAUCCAGAAGUAUCCAUACUGAACAGAUAUUGCUGGUUACUCUUGAUGAAUGGGGAGAAGCAAUGGAAUGCAAGGUAAAGAAGGGGAAGUUUGAUUUUUUAUUUUAUGUCUUUGAUAUUACUUGAAUUUUUAUUGCCUUUGUGUUACCUUUAUAAUUUAAAAAAGUUGAAUAACUUUGGUAAUUUAAGAAAGAACAAAAAAUGAAUAAAAACUAUUAAAAUGUAAAGAAAUAAUCAGAAACCAGGCCAAGUAACCUUUCCAGAGGCUUUGACCCACUUGUCUAGACAAGACUGUGGUCUAUCCUAGUAGGUGAAAGCUGAGGGACCAGCUAUACCCAGGACACAGCCAAGUUUCUGUAAGAGAACCACCCAGGCAGGCCAGAGGAGCUCCUCCUGGAAGCUUUACCCUGGACUGGGUGGAAAUCACCCCCUACAGGAAUUAGAAUUGCGCAUUUGAUUGUUUUUAUUGGCUCUGCCCUUCUUACUUUGAAUACCUCCUUCUUUUGUUCAUGAAUGUUUAAUUUGUCAUCUUGUUUAUGGCUGAAGCAAGAUUCCUGUCUAUCUAAUGAACUUAAUGAUUCUGACGUGAGUGUCUAACAGACAGUAAUUAGAACCUCUUUGGCUCACUGGGAUGGCAUAAUACCACCAGGUGCCUGCUUUUCAUGCUGCCUUGUUUGGGCAGAAAGUUUAUUUAUUUGUAUUCUACUUUAUUCCAAAAUACAUUGUAGGUCAAAUACACUGUUUUUGUUUUGUUUUUAAAUCAGAAAAUGGUGAAUGAGAGAAAAAUAAGGAUAUAAAAACAAGAUUAAGCCAACAAUGAAGUUGCCACACAGGCUACAUGCUUACCUUAAGUUUUACUUAAUUUGGUUCUGAGUUUCCUAGUGGCCAAGGUCAAGUGGACAUGAUCAGGUACAGAACUAAAGUGAUAGUCUUGGUUUUCCUGAGCAAUAAAAAAAAGACAGAUUUCUCAGUAAGGAUGGAUAUAUACAUAUGUGGGGGGCAGUGCUGAGAAGGAAAGUAUUCUACUAUAGUCUCAUGGACUUGAGAGUGAAUCCUGACUAGUGUCAGUCAACUGAUGGUCCUUUUCCAAGGCUGCAGUAAUUUCCUUCUUUCAAAUGAACCUUGAGUCACUUUGACCCCUUGAAUUGCUGUCCCUCCUCUCCAGAGGAAUGCUCGUCCCUUCUCUCAAAACCAUAAGCCUGGGGAAGAAUGCUACUUUGUUCAAGUUAUUCUUGAUUAUUUUGGAACUUCCUAAAGCUCCUGUCAUGUGGUUCCAAGUUUAACCAUAGCCACUUUGGACAUGGUUUUGUUUCCACAGUGAUGUGUGUCAGCAACCACAGAGUGAGCUUCUUGUAUUUUUAUAUCAAUAUGAUACCCUUUGUCUAUUUGUUCCUCAGAGGUUUCACUUUCGCUUAUGUAAUGGGCUAUGGCAUUUUACAGUCAUUACCUCAUGCUGGGAUCUCCUUUUUCUUUGUACCUCCUGAUGCGUCAUAUUCUUGACUCUACUCCCUUGGAUCUCUUAGAUACAAUGCUCUGAGCUGGUGGGUGGGAGUGGGUGGGAGCCAGAUUAUCUGAUGACUUCUCCACCCUUCCUCACACAAGAGCCACUUAGGUUUGUCACCACGCCGUUUCUGUACUCAGUCUUUUGGCAUCUUUCAGACUGCACACUGGCUUAAAACUACAGCCGCUACCAAAAGCAAUGGGUUUAGAUGGGGCUGGAAGACUCCAGGCUCCGCUCUGGGUUGGACACUGGGCAGGCAGAGUCUUCUGAACUCUGGAGCUACAUUGACUAUUCCCACAGGGUCUGCAGCUGGAAGUGGUCAGUCUCCUAUGUGUACCCCUGUCCAAGCCUACACUAUUAAGAAGAUCUUGAAAGAAACCUACAUCUCAAUAUAUGACCGUUCCUUCACUUGGGGCUCAUUUUCCUGAGCUCCUCCAUAUUCUUAUAUACAGCUGUUUACUUAGAUGUCUGAUAAGCUUCUCAAGCUUAACAUGCCCAAAACAGAACUCCUGCUUCAUGUUCCCACCUCACCCCCACCCAAGUGUUACUCGAGAAGAGUAGAACUCUUCUCCAUCUUGGAAAAUGGCACUACGCUUCACCUAAUUGCUCAAUCCAAAAAUAGGAAUCAUGCAUGAUUCCUCCUUUUCUUUCCUUCACCUUUUACAUCAAAAAACAGCUAAAUCCAAACACUUUUCUCCAUAUGCACAGCCAUCAUCCUGGUCUGAGUUUCUGUCAUCUUAUGCCUGGACAACUGAAAUCACCAAUGAGGCUCCUUGCUUCCAUUCUUUUCCCACUACAGUCCAUUCCCACACCACACAGUGGCCAAGGUAACAGAGCACACUGCUUCCUACACUUAAAAUCUUCCAAUGACUUCCUGCUGCUCUCAGGAAAAAAAAAAAAAAAAAAAAUCCCAUUUCUCCUGCCCACUUCUCAGAUCACAUCUCAUAUCACUCUCCAUGUCACUCAUGGAACUCCAGACACACUGGCUUCUUUCUCUUCCUUGAAAAUGCCACAUUAUUUUUCAUUCAUUGCCCUUUUACUGCUAUAUACUUUGCUUAGGAUGUGUUCUUUCACUGGACUUUUUAUCAUUGAGGUCUCACUUCUUCAAUGAAAUCCUCGUCCAAAUAUAUCUCCUAAAUAACGUUUUUACUUCUUCAUAUCAUUCUUAUAAUCAAAAAGGAUCUUGAGUAUUAGUUUGCUCACUUGUUUAUUAUUUGCCUUCUUCAUCCAGAACACAAGGUCAAUAAAGACAAGGAUUUUGUCUGUUUCAUUCACAACUGUAUCUCUGGUGAAUUUUUUAAAUAAAUAGGUGUAUGAAGUAAUGGACAAGCAAAUGCUAUAGCACAUGUGUCAGUUCAACUUAACAAACAUUUACUGGGCAUCUACUAUGUACCAGGCACUUGCCAGAUGCUUUAGAUUCAAAGAUUAAACAAGCCUACUUCUUUCCCUUAAUUCUGGAAGUAUUUUAGCCCUUUUUCUCUAAAUACUGCCUUUCUCACAUUUCUAUUUUUUUCUUCCUGACCUCUUUAACAUCUUGUUUCCCAUUUCUUUGCCUUCCCCUUUUUUGCUGUAUCCUGAGUAAUGUCUUCAGAUUUAUCUUCCAGUUCUCUAAUUCUCUCUUUAUCUGUAUCUAUUGUACUUGCUUCCUGUUUCUAAUUUUAAUAAUUAUCCUUUUUAUUUUCAGAAGUAGUAUUUGACUUUUUCUCAAUUCUGCCUGGUCUUUUUAGAUUCUGUUUAUUUUUUUUCAUGUUUUUGUUUCCCCUUUCUAUUGCUUUAAACAUUUUAAACACUUGAUAUUUGGUAUAUAAUGUCUAAUUCUGUUCAUUGUGGUUUCUACUGGCUUUCACUCAGGGUAGCUUAUGUGUUUCCUAGCGUGGUUAUCAUUUUAAUUGUGAUCUUAUGUUCACUGGAACUUUAUCUGUUAGACUCCCAUGAAGCUUGUGGAAUGUCCUUCCACAAAAGAGCUGCUUCUGCCAGGUGCCCUGGUAUGCUACCAACCUGGGGCCAAUUUAAACUAAUUUACAGCUGAAGUUUCCCAGACCAUGCAGAUAGUAUAAAUUUCAAAUCCUACACUUGUGUGAGGGAAAGAUUGUGUUUUAACAUCUUAUGAGUCCAGGCUAAGACAGACAAAGUUUCUCAUUUCUCUUCAUUGCAGAUAGGUAGGCUUUUUUUCUAGUCUAUUCUUUCAUUUAGUAUGUAUCCUUUUGUGAGUCUCACUUUUAUGCAGAAUUCGCUAUUCCUACUCUCCAUCUUUUGAGGGCACUAAGCCUGGUCUCGUGUCUCCCAUAAUGCCCCUAAAACCAAGCCUCAAAGUCACUGGGAUAGACAGGCUUCCCAAAGCAGCAGAGCUCCAGUGGUAAUUUACCAUUUUGAAUCCCAGUCUGUGUGCGUACACACAUGUGUAAUGAGGAUUUCCCUAAUUUGCAUGAGAGUUUGACUAUGCAUUUAAAAGUAUAUUUGUUAUAUUUUAUCUAGGAUAUCCAGAUGUUCUGUCUUAUAGCUAGAAACACAAUAUUCUGCCUUCUAUGAACAUGUGAUAUAGUUUUGGGAGACAGAAACAUCCAUUUAUCCAACCAUCAACAUUUUUAUUGGUUUUUCUGUAUCAGACACUAAUAACCAGGUACACUUAAAAAUAUGCUUAGAGGCAUGCCCACAGUGAUGAGAGGAUGUAGGGGUAAAAGAGACCAAUUCUAAUGGGGGAUCUGGGAAGGUUUUGCAGAUACAAAGGUUUUGGAGCUGGAUAAUAAUAAUACCUACCUUUUAUCUCAUGCUUACUCUGGACCAAGCACUGUGGCAAGUACUUAACAUGUAUGGUCACGAUAUCCUUACAAGAAGGCAUAAGAUAGAUACUAUUCUUAGCAUCUCAAUUUUACAACUGAAGCAUAGAGAAUUUGAGUAAUGUUCCCUGUCAUAUAGAAAGCAACUGGCAGUGCCUGGAUAUGAAUUCAAGCAGUUUAAGUCCUGAUCCAGGGCUUUUAGCUACUAUGCUAUAUUGUGCUUGAACAGACAGGGAUUGGGGGAGGGCGUUCCAUCCAGGAAGAAAAUAAUGCCUAUAUCCCUAGACGACUGUGAGGAUUAUUUGAGAUACUGUAAGGAAAACCA